Long non-coding RNA from Peromyscus californicus insignis, 1001 nucleotides. RefSeq lists it as uncharacterized. Lineage: Eukaryota; Metazoa; Chordata; Mammalia; Rodentia; Cricetidae. The record is from RefSeq and is a predicted model, not a curated record. The transcript is spliced from 3 exons.
UUCUGCGCCCCGGGAGCAGACCUCUCCUGAAGAAAACCAGAUUCCCUCUGAAGAGGAGAUUCCUCUUGUCCUGUCAGGCACGUCAAAAAUGCUCACACUCACUUCAGAAACAACCCGUGACGCCAACACCUGGUUGUUGUGUGAGUCCCACAGAACUGCCUGAUUCUGUAGACGACUUGUUUCUGAAAACCAGGAAGGAGGGGUGCCCAGGGCCACAGCUGUUGUCACAGAAUUCUCCGGGAGAGGAUUGCGAGUUACAUAGGUUGUGAGUGUCCUCAGGGAACACGAAGUCCUUUGAAUUAAGCACACCAUCAGUCCAGGUGCUCAACAUCUUUUUGGAGCCCUUCCUGGAUUAUCAACCUCAAAUCUUAUUUGCAUUCUGUUUAAGUAUUUAAAGUUGCUUAUUAGUGUUUUGUAAGACAGAGCCAAGGACAGAAUGCUGUUACCACUAAAGACCUCGUUCCUUCUAUCAAACAUUCCUCGGUGGACUUUUGAGUACAGUACCGACAACUUCCACAUUUAUGUAACUGAACCGUCUUCUUAAUUCAUAUUCUUCAAAAAAAAAAAAAGUGAGAAUUUGUGGACUACAAGUAAACUGUCUCCAGAAUUCCUAGAAACUGUUGGCCAUGCACGAAAGGAAAAAUACUGUGGCAUCAUAGAAAAGUCUGGGCUCUCUACAAAGAAAUCAGAAAAGGCUGGGGAGAAUGAAGCCUUGAAAGGUAAGAAAUGAAAAGUCAAGAAAGGAGAGAGAUGGACUCGGGUCCGGAGCGACAGGUCUAGCUUGGGAUCUGCCCUGUCAUUCCCUGGCCUUGCUUAUAGAAACAGUGCAUUUGAAAGUGCCACUUUCCAUAAAACUUUGUGCAGGAAGAAGAGAAUGUAACCCCUUUCCACUGCAGAGGUGUAUGGGAGGUGAAUCAGAUGUCUCUGUCCUCAACUAGCACUUCCUGGGAGCUGGGAGCGUGAGAAUCAGACAACUUUGCACCACGAUUUAUUUUCCUUCU